CCUACGGGGGGCAGCAGUGGGGAAUAUUGGACGAUGGGGGGAACCCUGAUCCAGCCAUGCCGCGUGUGUGAAGAAGGCCCUCGGGUUGUAAAGCACUUUCAGUGAGGAAGAACGCCUGGUGGUUAAUACCCAUCAGGAAAGACAUCACUCACAGAAGAAGCACCGGCUAACUCCGUGCCAGCAGCCGCGGUAAUACGGAGGGUGCGAGCGUUAAUCGGAAUUACUGGGCGUAAAGCGCGCGUAGGUGGCUUGAUAAGCCGGUUGUGAAAGCCCCGGGCUCAACCUGGGAACGGCAUCCGGAACUGUCAAGCUAGAGUGCAGGAGAGGAAGGUAGAAUUCCCGGUGUAGCGGUGAAAUGCGUAGAGAUCGGGAGGAAUACCAGUGGCGAAGGCGGCCUUCUGGACUGACACUGACACUGAGGUGCGAAAGCGUGGGUAGCAAACAGGAUUAGAUACCCCAGUAGUC
This 465-nucleotide ribosomal RNA is filed under the name Vreelandella stevensii. RNAcentral's name for it is "partial 16S ribosomal RNA". It matches the Rfam family "Bacterial small subunit ribosomal RNA", at positions 338 to 795 of the family's 1533-position model. The record is from RNAcentral. Lineage: Bacteria; Pseudomonadati; Pseudomonadota; Gammaproteobacteria; Oceanospirillales; Halomonadaceae.